Molecule: long non-coding RNA, 1449 nt
Organism: Clupea harengus (Atlantic herring)
Lineage: Eukaryota; Metazoa; Chordata; Actinopteri; Clupeiformes; Clupeidae
Source: RefSeq, a predicted model, not a curated record
GUGUGUGUGUUAAGUGUUGAGGUGGUGGCGGAAGUACUGAAGAGGACUUGUAAAGCUAUCCUUUGAUAGCCAAAUUAUUCUAAUAAAACAGGAUUUACGCAUUGAUUGACUUGGGAACAAUUGUGCUUUUCCCCCGCUAGCCAUGCACAGUCUGUUUCUGGACAUUAUAAAUUGUCUUGAAUUAUGUAGUCCUUAGAUUUGCAAGACAGUAAAUACGUUCCGUCAGUCAAAACGUGUUUAAAGCGUUGAGAGCAAAUUCAUUACUGCAGUCAAUGCGUAACCUGGUCUGGGAACGGGGGCCAGUCCAAGCCAGUGGGGGAACAAUGGCCCCUCAGUUCAAGUCCAACAAAAGACCUGUCGGACUUGUUUGAAUUUCAGAGCACGUCCUUUCUCACACAGAGGGAUGGACUAUACCCUGGCCAGAAGCAGCAGCCCCCCCACCCCACACCAACCAAUGAAAAAAAAGGGAGAAAAAAAAACAUGCCGACUCUCUCAGCCCAACAGUGCACUUUUCCAUUUUGGGCCGUGGACAAAUAGGUUAUGGGAAACUUCUCUCCCUCCCUCCCUACCUCCUCUUCACUCUCUCCGGCUCUCCACUCUCCCCACUUCUCUCUUGCACUUGGAAUAAGCCUCGGCUUACAGCAGUGCAACUGAGGCUCGCGUAAUGAACUAAGUAUAAGCGGCAAUUUUAAACGAAGUGGUGUCUAAACAGCACUGCGUACGGGAGCUUGUUUCCAUCCGGGAUGAAUAAAGACCAACGGGUUUAUCCUGGAAAAUAAGCAACUCAGAAACAUACAGGGAAACUAUGGAGAGAAUUCAAAGACCUCCUUGAAAUCCAGCCUUUAUAGAGAAAACCUACACAAGGGGCGAGAUGAGAGGCAGCUCUUCUGAAGAGGUGAAGAUGGACAGCAAUCAGCGGAGGUCAAAGAUGUCUGUACCAUACCUCUUCGACAUUGGGUGGAACUAUGGGAAAACUCUGGACAUAGCAGUCUUCUUCCACAGCGCAAUAAAAGGAAAAUCCUGUUAUGGACAAGCUAAAGCUAAAAAUGACAGUUUAAUGAAGACUUGACUGUUUUUGUCAUGGCAACUGAUGCUUAAUAAGAGUACUGCCGGUUCCCCAAGACAAUUUCCUGCAAAUGUGAAAGGAAUGUUGGGAAAUGCUGAGAAUAUCUUCACCUUGCCACAAGUUGCCUCAGGGACCAGUACCACAGUGGCUGCACAGUUUUGUUUUAUGGAUCCCACAUAUCUUUGACAAUGUGGAAACAGGAUUAUAAAAAUACUACGCAAUCUAAAGCACUAUGAAACUACAACAUUCAUCAUCGAAUGUGUGCACUUUGAAAGUUACAUUUCCAUUCUGUGUUCUGUAUUGGAAAUUGUUGCUGUGUUUUUAUUUUACUUUGAAGAUUUGUCUUUAUUUUUCUAAUAAAUGAUAUGUUGUAUAAAACAGAA